Molecule: ribosomal RNA, 494 nt
Filed under: uncultured bacterium
Lineage: Bacteria
Description: partial 16S ribosomal RNA
Rfam family: Bacterial small subunit ribosomal RNA
Source: RNAcentral
GAUGAACGCUGGCGGCGUGCCUAAUACAUGCAAGUCGAGCGAACGGACGAGAAGCUUGCUUCUCUGAUGUUAGCGUCGGACGGGUGAGUAACACGUGGAUAACCUACCUAUAAGACUGGGAUAACUUCGGGAAACCGGAGCUAAUACCGGAUAAUAUUUUGAACCGCAUGGUUCAAAAGUGAAAGACGGUCUUGCUGUCACUUAUAGAUGGAUCCGCGCUGCAUUAGCUAGUUGGUAAGGUAACGGCUUACCAAGGCAACGAUGCAUAGCCGACCUGAGAGGGUGAUCGGCCACACUGGAACUGAGACACGGUCCAGACUCCUACGGGAGGCAGCAGUAGGGAAUCUUCCGCAAUGGGCGAAAGCCUGACGGAGCAACGCCGCGUGAGUGAUGAAGGUCUUCGGAUCGUAAAACUCUGUUAUUAGGGAAGAACAUAUGUGUAAGUAACUGUGCACAUCUUGACGGUACCUAAUCAGAAAGCCACGGCUAACUAC